RNAcentral lists this unclassified non-coding RNA (428 nucleotides) under Hevea brasiliensis (rubber tree). Lineage: Eukaryota; Viridiplantae; Streptophyta; Magnoliopsida; Malpighiales; Euphorbiaceae. The record is from RNAcentral.
GCAGUAGCAAAGGUCAUGAAGAAGGAGACAGAGAAGAACAUGUCAUUGCGAAAGCUUUGGAAAUAAAUAAAUUAAAUUCCAAAUUUAAUGUUGUGUUUUUUGGACCAACCAAUGGGAUCACGAAGAAAAAGAAUCAAAUGGUGUACCCAUUGGUUUGCAGGAUUGGUUAUUCCUGCUUGGACUAGGUUGGCAUCAUGCAUGUGCUUUUUAUUCACAGGGUGUAAAGACAUCAUUUUCCUAGUCAAGGGGCUCUAAGAGACGCAUAGUUUUGUAUCUUCUGUUUUAAACAGAAGGCCGAGCCUGUGGAUUUUCUUUUUAAUCGUGGAUUCUCUAAGUGAUUAUGACUAUUGCUUCUCUUGAUUUGACUCCUAUAUUUUUCGCAUCUUAGUAUUACUUCUACAAUGAGAACUCUACUUCCAUUCUUUCCC